This is a long non-coding RNA of Patella vulgata (common limpet), 533 nucleotides long. RefSeq lists it as uncharacterized. The record is from RefSeq and is a predicted model, not a curated record. NCBI's taxonomy places the organism in Eukaryota, Metazoa, Mollusca, Gastropoda, Patellidae. The transcript has 2 exons.
CCAAUUUGCAUAUUGGUCAGCCAAUCGAAUUGCAAUAUUUCUUAAAAUUUCGAUUGUAUCUUAGUUUAAGUUUUCGUGAAUAAGGGCCCAGAUCUUUAACACGUCUAAUAAUUAAAGAUGCCUUAUGUAAGAGUUUAAUCUGUAAAUUUGCCUAUUGGACAUUAAUUAACAUGACAAGCCCAUAAUUAACUCUCUAGACCAUCUGAUGGUUGUGAUUUUGAACGGAUUGAAACAUGAUAGCCAUUUAAUUAAAAAUGGAUAAUCGAGACUGUUUAUCAUCGUAACAACAAUAGCAAUGAAAAUCAUGACUGUGCUUUUCUUCAAACAGUCAGAACUUUGUUCAGAAUAGAGUAAUUUGAAUGAAAUUUUCAAUGUAUUUAUUUUUUAUCUGUUUUUGAACUAUUACAGCAAGAAUGGUUAGCUCUUUAUCUAAAUCUUGCAAUGUAUCUUUAAUGGUCAGCUCUUUAUCUAAAUCUUGCAAUGUAUCUUUAAUGAUCAGCUCUUUAUCUAAAUCUUACAUAAUGUAUCUUUAA